This 450-nucleotide ribosomal RNA is filed under the name uncultured bacterium. RNAcentral's name for it is "bacterial SSU rRNA". It matches the Rfam family "Bacterial small subunit ribosomal RNA", at positions 354 to 796 of the family's 1533-position model. The record is from RNAcentral.
GUGGGGAAUAUUGGACAAUGGGCGAAAGCCUGAUCCAGCCAUGCCGCGUGUGUGAAGAAGGUCUUCGGAUUGUAAAGCACUUUAAGUUGGGAGGAAGGGCAGUAAGUUAAUACCUUGCUGUUUUGACGUUACCGACAGAAUAAGCACCGGCUAACUUCGUGCCAGCAGCCGCGGUAAUACGAAGGGUGCAAGCGUUAAUCGGAAUUACUGGGCGUAAAGCGCGCAGAGGUGGUUUUGUAAGUUGGAGGUGAAAUCCCCGGGCUCAACCUGGGAACUGCCUCCAAAACUGCAUGACUAGAGUACGGUAGAGGGUAGUGGAAUUUCCUGUGUAGCGGUGAAAUGCGUAGAUAUAGGAAGGAACACCAGUGGCGAAGGCGACUACCUGGACUGAUACUGACACUGAGGUGCGAAAGCGUGGGGAGCAAACAGGAUUAGAAACCCGGGUAGUCC